GCUAUCGCUUACAGAUGGGCCCGCGGUGCAUUAGCUAGUUGGUAGGGUAAUGGCCUACCAAGGCAACGAUGCAUAGCCGACCUGAGAGGGUGAUCGGCCACACUGGGACUGAGACACGGCCCAGACUCCUACGGGAGGCAGCAGUAGGGAAUCUUCCGCAAUGGACGAAAGUCUGACGGAGCAACGCCGCGUGUAUGAAGAAGGUUUUCGGAUCGUAAAGUACUGUUGUUAGAGAAGAACAAGGAUAAGAGUAACUGCUUGUCCCUUGACGGUAUCUAACCAGAAAGCCACGGCUAACUACGUGCCAGCAGCCGCGGUAAUACGUAGGUGGCAAGCGUUGUCCGGAUUUAUUGGGCGUAAAGCGCGCGCAGGCGGUCUUUUAAGUCUGAUGUGAAAGCCCCCGGCUUAACCGGGGAGGGUCAUUGGAAACUGGAAGACUGGAGUGCAGAAGAGGAGAGUGGAAUUCCACGUGUAGCGGUGAAAUGCGUAGAUAUGUGGAGGAACACCAGUGGCGAAGGCGACUCUCUGGUCUGUAACUGACGCUGAGGCGCGAAAGCGUGGG
RNAcentral lists this ribosomal RNA (562 nucleotides) under Listeria monocytogenes. Its description in RNAcentral is "bacterial SSU rRNA". It matches the Rfam family "Bacterial small subunit ribosomal RNA", at positions 211 to 765 of the family's 1533-position model. Lineage: Bacteria; Bacillati; Bacillota; Bacilli; Caryophanales; Listeriaceae. The record is from RNAcentral.